UUGUGUUUUUUUUUUUGCGUCCUUUGAGCACCAGUUCCUUCUUCUCCGGUUCUUCUCUCCCUAUCCUCGUCUCCGCCUCUCUGUCCCUGUCAUUGUCUCUCCUACUUCACUCUACAAAACCCUAGAAUUUGCAACUCCUGUGUGUACUGGGGAUGAAAUUCUAGGGUUUUGGUUAGAGGAGCACAGAUGGCGUUGAGAAUUCAAGUAAAGGAGAGGGAUUUGGAGAAGGGACUGAACCCUAACACUUUUGCUGAGCCAUUGCCUUCGCCGUCCCCUACGCCGCGGGCUUUGGUUCUAUCCAAUUCCAGUAAGAGGUUCGAUCAGGCAGGGAAGAAAAGAUACGUCAAGCAGGUGACGGGUCGGCACAAUGACACCGACCUGCAUUUGGCUGCGCAGCGCGGCGAUCUGGCGGCGGUUAAGCAGAUUCUCGGUGAAAUCGAUGAACAGAUGGUCGGUACGCUUACUGAUGCGGAUUUUGAUGCUGAGGUGGCGAAAAUAAGGUCGGCGGUUGUGAACGAGGUGAACGAGUUAGAAGAAACUGCUCUAUUUACCGCAGCCGAAAAGGGACACCUUGAUGUAGUGACGGAGCUGUUGAAAUAUUCAACUAAAGAAAGCACUUCAAGGAAAAAUCGAUCUGGCUUCAAUCCGUUGCAUAUAGCUGCGAGUAAUGGGCAUCAUGCCAUUGUUCAGGUGCUACUAGACCAUGACCCAGAACUAAUUAAAACAGUUGGUACAUCAAACUCAACACCUCUUGCAACUGCAGCUUCCAGAGGGCAUACAGCAGUAGUUAAUGUAUUGCUAUCAAAAGAUUCUAGCUUACUAGAGAUUUCCCGGUCCAAUGGGAAAAAUGCAUUGCAUUUGUCUGCCCGACAAGGUUAUGUUGACAUUGUAAAAGCAUUACUUGAAAAAGACCCACAAUUGGCUCGUAGAACUGACAAGAAAGGGCAAACUGCAUUGCAUAUGGCUGUUAAAGGGACUAGCAGUGAAGUGGUAAGGUUGCUCCUUGAAGCAGAUGCAGCCAUAGUGAUGCUUCCAGACAGACAUGGCAACACAGCAUUACAUGUGGCAACCAGGAAAAAGCGACCAGAGAUAGUAGGUGAGCUAUUGCUCCUUCAUGACACUAAUGUCAAUGCACUGACCCGAGACCACAAAACAGCCUUUGACAUAGUAGAAGGACUUCCUCUUUCUGAAGAGUCCUCAGAGAUAAAGGAGUUAUUGGCCCGCUUUGGAGCAGUCAGGGCUGAUGAACUUAACCUACCAAGGGAUGAAUUGAGGCAGACUGUGACGGAGAUCAAGAAAGAAGUCCAUUCCCAGCUUGAACAAGCGAGGAAAACCAACAAGAACGUCCACGGGAUUGCUAAGGAGCUUCGGAGACUGCAUAGGCAAGCGAUUAACAAUGCUACCAACUCUGUAACAGUAGUUGCUGUUCUCUUUGCUACAGUGGCUUUUGCAGCUAUCUUCACUGUACCUGGUGGAAGCUAUGAUAGUGGGAUGGCGGUGGUUGUGAGCCAUACAUCUUUCAAGAUCUUCUUAUUAUUUAAUGCUGUUGCACUUUUCACAUCCCUGGCGGUGGUGGUUGUACAGAUCACGGUGGUUAGAGGGGAGGCAAAAGCAGAGAGGCGGGUUGUGGAGGUGAUCAACAAGCUGAUGUGGUUGGCAUCUGUGUGCACCUCUAUUUCAUUUAUUGCUUCAUCUUAUAUAGUAGUAGGUAGGCAUAACCGGUGGGCAUCCAUUCUGGUUACAGCUAUAGGAGGAGUCAUAAUGGUAGGAGUUCUUGGCACCAUGACUUACUAUGUAGUUAAGUCCAAACGGACUCGAAAAAUCAGGAAGAAGGAGAAGUCUUGCAGAAAGAGUGGGUCCUUCUCGUGGCAUCAUUCGGAGUUUUCUGAUUCGGAAGUGAACCCUAUUUAUGCUAUCUAGUGUGAGGAAGGAAUGCCCAACGGCGCUGUAUUUGCCCUUUUCGUACUUAACAUCAACAACAAGAAGAAAAAGUUUCUGUUGCACAGUUCACUGUAUAUAUUAACUUUUAUCUCUGGGGAAUCAGGAUGAAGCCAUAAAGAUAUGAGCCUUGCCAUGUGACUUUGUGGUAGAGGACAUAGGAGUGUUCGAUGUCCAACUCCUUCCACCAACACUUUUCUUCCACUAUCACUUCAUCCUUUUUCGAUCAAAGUCCUUUCUCAGAAAAUAGUACCGUAUUAUACUAGUGGAUGUGGAUCCCCACUCUCCAACCUUCCUUGUAUAAUUUGUAUUGUGGAGGCACAUAAGAAGAUCUAGCAAGCCGUGAAAUGCUACCAACACCAGUACUAGCAGAAGAACCAAUAGCUGGCUUCUCGGUUGCAGAUUCGGCAACAUCAGCCCAUGAAGUUCGCACAGGAACAAUCUGGAUAGGAUUGCCUGAAUAGGAACAAAAAGGAAGCGACUUCGGACAAUUUCAUGCCCAUGCACCGAGCAGAGACCUCCACAUCUUUGAAUGUUUGACCGGUUUGGGUCGUCGCCCACGGUCUCUCUUGCUACAGCUAUUCAGCCUGGGGAGACAGAGAUCUUUGUUGUUAAGUCCGUCGAGCUCUUGCGGUCUGAGUUCUUGCAGAGGGAGCAGAGGAUUCUUUCUUCUCUCAGGUGUUCUGGUAUUGUUGGGUAUAGAGGCUGUUCGCUAUAGCAGCAUGUUGUUCCAGCUUGCUUCUUUGCCAAACAAGCAGCACCAACAGCACCUCCAGAUUCCAGUCCUCAAGGGAGAUGAGAUGUUGAAGAACAUCUUCUUGGAGGUUAAGAAGAAAUUUAAUGCAGCCUUGGGUGUACUUUGGAAGGAGAAGAUUAGAAUAGAUCCAGAUGAUCCAGUUGAAGUUGUUCAGUAUGCAAAGGUCAUGAAGACUGAAAGAAAAGGUAGACUUGUUCUCAGAGUCCCAACGGAUUCAGUACACUAUUCAGAUACACACAAGGUAUUCGAGAUGCUCUAAUAUAUCUGUUGACAUUGAAGGAGAUACCAAUCGCCUCACUGAUGACUUGGUGCAGAGGCUCUAGAAGCUACUCCUGAGGUCUGACAAAAAGGGAAUGGCUCUUCUUAUGGAUUCACAUCUCCGCCCCACAGCACACCCCCGCCGUGUAUUGGGAACAUCUCCUGAUGAUAGUACCA
Nelumbo nucifera (sacred lotus) is the source of this 3130-nucleotide non-coding RNA. The record is from RefSeq and is a predicted model, not a curated record. NCBI's taxonomy places the organism in Eukaryota, Viridiplantae, Streptophyta, Magnoliopsida, Proteales, Nelumbonaceae.